This 484-nucleotide ribosomal RNA is filed under the name uncultured bacterium. RNAcentral's name for it is "partial 16S ribosomal RNA". It matches the Rfam family "Bacterial small subunit ribosomal RNA", at positions 30 to 507 of the family's 1533-position model. The record is from RNAcentral.
AUUGAACGCUGGCGGCAGGCCUAACACAUGCAAGUCGAGCGGAUGAAGGGAGCUUGCUCCUGGAUUCAGCGGCGGACGGGUGAGUAAUGCCUAGGAAUCUGCCUAGUAGUGGGGGAUAACGUCCGGAAACGGGCGCUAAUACCGCAUACGUCCUGAGGGAGAAAGUGGGGGAUCUUCGGACCUCACGCUAUCAGAUGAGCCUAGGUCGGAUUAGCUAGUUGGUGGGGUAAAGGCCUACCAAGGCGACGAUCCGUAACUGGUCUGAGAGGAUGAUCAGUCACACUGGAACUGAGACACGGUCCAGACUCCUACGGGAGGCAGCAGUGGGGAAUAUUGGACAAUGGGCGAAAGCCUGAUCCAGCCAUGCCGCGUGUGUGAAGAAGGUCUUCGGAUUGUAAAGCACUUUAAGUUGGGAGGAAGGGCGGUAAGUUAAUACCUUGCUGUUUUGACGUUACCAACAGAAUAAGCACCGGCUAACUUCGUG